GCGGAGGAAAAGAAACUAACCAGGAUUGUCUCAGUAAGGGCGACUGAAGCGACAAUAGCUCACCAUGUGAAUCUGCGUAAAAGCCGAAUUGUGGUCUCACUUGUGUUAUUGGCCGGGCCAAGUCCGUUGGAAUACGGCAGCUGAGAGGGUGAGACUCCCGUAAGCCUGGCCUGUAGAGCAAGUGUAUACGAGUCGAGUUGUUUGGGAUUGCAGCUCUAAGUGGGUGGUAAAUUCCAUCGAAAGCUAAAUACUGGUGGGAGACCGAUAGCGUACAAGUACCGUGAGGGAAAGAUGCAAAGAAGCGCGAAAGCGCUGUUAAAGAGUACCUGAAAUUGCUGAAACGGAAGCGAAGGAAACCAGUGCCAGCUGCGUCAUACUUCCCCAUCUGCUUGCGGGUGGGGCGCUGUGGCCAGCGUUGUCAGGCUUGGUUGGGGGGCGCGGAAGAGUGCGGGGGGAGAUGACCCUCGUUUC
Molecule: ribosomal RNA, 471 nt
Filed under: Halamphora aponina
Lineage: Eukaryota; Bacillariophyta; Bacillariophyceae; Naviculales; Amphipleuraceae
Description: eukaryotic LSU rRNA
Rfam family: Eukaryotic large subunit ribosomal RNA
Source: RNAcentral